RNAcentral lists this ribosomal RNA (448 nucleotides) under uncultured bacterium. Its description in RNAcentral is "bacterial SSU rRNA". It matches the Rfam family "Bacterial small subunit ribosomal RNA", at positions 330 to 792 of the family's 1533-position model. The record is from RNAcentral.
UCCAGACUCCUACGGGAGGCAGCAGUGGGGAAUAUUGGGCAAUGGGCGCAAGCCUGACCCAGCAACGCCGCGUGAAGGAAGAAGGCUUUCGGGUUGUAAACUUCUUUUGUCAGGGACGAAGCAAGUGACGGUACCUGACGAAUAAGCCACGGCUAACUACGUGCCAGCAGCCGCGGUAAUACGUAGGGAGCAAGCGUUAUCCGGAUUUACUGGGUGUAAAGGGCGCGUAGGCGGGAUGGCAAGUCAGAUGUGAAAUCCAGGGGCUCAACCCCUGAACUGCAUUUGAAACUGUCGUUCUUGAGUACUGGAGAGGUUGGCGGAAUUCCUAGUGUAGCGGUGAAAUGCGUAGAUAUUAGGAGGAGCACCAGUGGCGAAGGCGGUCAACUGGACAGCAACUGACGCUGAGGCGCGAAAGCGUGGGGAGCAAACAGGAUUAGAUACCCCGGUA